This 476-nucleotide ribosomal RNA is filed under the name uncultured soil bacterium. RNAcentral's name for it is "bacterial SSU rRNA". It matches the Rfam family "Bacterial small subunit ribosomal RNA", at positions 26 to 506 of the family's 1533-position model. The record is from RNAcentral.
AGGACGAACGCUGGCGGCGUGCUUAACACAUGCAAGUCGAGCGGAAAGGCCCUUCGGGGUACUCGAGCGGCGAACGGGUGAGUAACACGUGAGUAAUCUGCCCAUCGCUUCAGGAUAGCCAUCGGAAACGGUGAUUAAUACUGGAUAUGACAUUCCUUCGCAUGUUGGGGUGUGGAAAGUUUUUUCGGCGAUGGAUGUGCUCGCGGCCUAUCAGCUUGUUGGUGGGGUAAUGGCCUACCAAGGCUUUGACGGGUAGCCGGCCUGAGAGGGUGACCGGCCACACUGGGACUGAGACACGGCCCAGACUCCUACGGGAGCAGCAGUGGGGAAUAUGGACAAUGGGCGAAGCCUGAUCCGAGCAACGCCGCGUGAGGAUGGACGGCCUUCGGGUGUAAACCUCUUUCAGCACAGACGAAGUUUGCUUUUUUGGUGUAAGUGACGGUAUGUGCGAGAAGAACGGACCGGCCAACGUACGU